This 579-nucleotide ribosomal RNA is filed under the name uncultured bacterium. Its description in RNAcentral is "bacterial SSU rRNA". It matches the Rfam family "Bacterial small subunit ribosomal RNA", at positions 102 to 674 of the family's 1533-position model. The record is from RNAcentral.
ACGGGGUAGUAACGGGUAGGUGACGUACCCUCGGGUCGGGGAUAGCCACGGGAAACUGUGGGUAAUACCCGAUAAUCUCUUGGAACGUGAUGGUUUCGAGAGCAAAGGUGCGAUUCCACCGGAGGAGCGGCCUGCUUCGUAUUAGCUAGUUGGUGAGGUAACGGCCCACCAAGGCGACGAUGCGUAGGGGGUGUGAGAGCAUGACCCCCACCACUGGGACUGAGAUACUGCCCAGACACCUACGGGUGGCUGCAGUCGAGAAUCUUCGGCAAUGGGCGCAAGCCUGACCGAGCGACGCCGCGUGUGGGAUGAAGGCCCUUGGGUUGUAAACCACUGUCAGAGGGGAUGAAGUUCAUGAGGGCAAUCUCUCAUGAUUGACAUAGCCUCAGAGGAAGCACGGGCUAAGUUCGUGCCAGCAGCCGCGGUAAUACGAACUGUGCGAACGUUAUUCGGAAUCACUGGGCUUACAGGGUGCGUAGGCGGCUUGUUAAGUAGGGUGUGAAAGCCCCCGGCUCAACCGGGGAAUUGCGCCCUAAACUGGCGAGCUGGAGUGAGAUAGGGGUGUGUGGAACUUCCGGU